This 327-nucleotide ribosomal RNA is filed under the name uncultured eukaryote. Its description in RNAcentral is "partial 18S ribosomal RNA". It matches the Rfam family "Eukaryotic small subunit ribosomal RNA", at positions 1470 to 1796 of the family's 1831-position model. The record is from RNAcentral.
UCCUUAGAUGUUCUGGGCCGCACGCGCGCUACACUGAUUCAUGCAACAAGUUUUGUCCUUGGCUGAUAGGCCUGGGUAAUCUUUGAACGUGAAUCGUGAUGGGGAUAGAUGAUUGCAAUUAUUCAUCUUCAACGAGGAAUUCCUAGUAAACGCAAGUCAUCAGCUUGCAUUGAUUACGUCCCUGCCCUUUGUACACACCGCCCGUCGCACCUACCGAUUGAAUGGUCCGGUGAAAUCUUCGGAUCUGAGAGAUGUCUGAUUAAUUUCGGACGCCUUUUGGAAAAGUUGUUUAAACCUUACCAUUUAGAGGAAGGUGAANUCGUANCA